Molecule: ribosomal RNA, 222 nt
Filed under: uncultured Pseudomonadales bacterium
Lineage: Bacteria; Pseudomonadati; Pseudomonadota; Gammaproteobacteria; Pseudomonadales
Description: partial 16S ribosomal RNA
Rfam family: Bacterial small subunit ribosomal RNA
Source: RNAcentral
AGUAAUGCCUAGGAAUCUGCCUGGUAGUGGGGGACAACGUUUCGAAAGGAACGCUAAUACCGCAUACGUCCUACGGGAGAAAGCAGGGGACCUUCGGGCCUUGCGCUAUCAGAUGAGCCUAGGUCGGAUUAGCUAGUUGGUGAGGUAAUGGCUCACCAAGGCGAUGAUCCGUAACUGGUCUGAGAGGAUGAUCAGUCACACUGGAACUGAGACACGGUCCAG